GACGAACGCUGGCGGCGUGCUUAACACAUGCAAGUCGAACGGAAAGGCCCUGCUUUUGUGGGGUGCUCGAGUGGCGAACGGGUGAGUAACACGUGAGUAACCUGCCCUUGACUUUGGGAUAACUUCAGGAAACUGGGGCUAAUACCGGAUAGGAGCUCCUGCUGCAUGGUGGGGGUUGGAAAGGUUCGGCGGUUGGGGAUGGACUCGCGGCUUAUCAGCUUGUUGGUGGGGUAGUGGCUUACCAAGGCUUUGACGGGUAGCCGGCCUGUGAGGGAGACCGGCGACAAUGGAGCUGAGGUACGGCCCAGACUGCUACGGGGGGAAGCAGGGGGGAAUAGUGCACAACGGGCGGAAGCCUGAUGCAGCAACGCCGCGUGCGGGAUGACGGCCUUCGGGUUGUAAACCGCUUUCGCCUAAGACGAAGCGUGAGUGACGGUAAUGGGUAAAGAAGCACCGGCUAACUACGUG
This 468-nucleotide ribosomal RNA is filed under the name uncultured bacterium. RNAcentral describes it as "partial 16S ribosomal RNA". It matches the Rfam family "Bacterial small subunit ribosomal RNA", at positions 28 to 507 of the family's 1533-position model. The record is from RNAcentral.